CCUACGGGCGGCAGCAGUGGGGGAUAUUGCACAAUGGGGGAAACCCUGAUGCAGCGACGCCGCGUGAGUGAAGAAGUAUUUCGGUAUGUAAAGCUCUAUCAGCAGGGAAGAAAAUGACAGUACCUGACUAAGAAGCCCCGGCUAACUACGUGCCAGCAGCCGCGGUAAUACGUAGGGGGCAAGCGUUAUCCGGAUUUACUGGGUGUAAAGGGAGCGUAGACGGCUAUGUAAGUCUGGAGUGAAAGCCCGGGGCCUAACCCCGGGACUGCUUUGGAAACUGUGUAGCUGGAGUACAGGAGGGGCAGGCGGAAUUCCUGGUGUAGCGGUGAAAUGCGUAGAUAUCAGGAGGAACACCAGCGGCGAAGGCGGCUUGCUGGACUGAAACUGACGUUGAGGCUCGAAAGCGUGGGGAGCAAACAGGAUUAGAUACCCGAGUAGUC
RNAcentral lists this ribosomal RNA (440 nucleotides) under uncultured bacterium. RNAcentral's name for it is "partial 16S ribosomal RNA". It matches the Rfam family "Bacterial small subunit ribosomal RNA", at positions 338 to 795 of the family's 1533-position model. The record is from RNAcentral.